This 376-nucleotide ribosomal RNA is filed under the name uncultured Legionella sp. Its description in RNAcentral is "bacterial SSU rRNA". It matches the Rfam family "Bacterial small subunit ribosomal RNA", at positions 283 to 651 of the family's 1533-position model. Lineage: Bacteria; Pseudomonadati; Pseudomonadota; Gammaproteobacteria; Legionellales; Legionellaceae. The record is from RNAcentral.
UUAGCUGGUCUGAGAGGAUGGCCAGCCACACUGGAACUGAGACACGGCCCAGACUCCUACGGGAGGCAGCAGUGGGGAAUAUUGGACAAUGGGGGAAACCCUGAUCCAGCAAUGCCGCGUGUGUGAAGAAGGCCUGAGGGUUGUAAAGCACUUUCAGUGGGGAGGAGGGUUGAYAGGUUAAGAGCUARUUAACUGGACGUUACCCACAGAAGAAGCACCGGCUAACUCCGUGCCAGCAGCCGCGGUAAUACGGAGGGUGCGAGCGUUAAUCGGAAUUACUGGGCGUAAAGGGUGCGUAGGUGGUUUAUUAAGUUAUCUGUGAAAUCCCUGGGCUUAACCUGGGCAGGUCAGAUAAGACUGGUWGACUCGAGUAUGG